UCACUUCACAUCUAAUUAACACAUCUUUUAAUUUACUUCCCUUGGCUUGUCUUCAAACUAAUUAAUCUGUUGUUUUAUGACUUUAUGGGAAGUACAAGGGGAAGUGCAAAAGAGAUGAAAGCUUGGACCACUAUCAUGCCCAAGGCAUGCAAUUUUUCAGUAACAUUUAAAGAAGUUAUUAGGUGACAGAUUUCACCUCCAGGGCUCACCUGUCUGGGUGCUCAAUUUGCUCAUCUUUUUUAGUCAAAUAUAUGAGCAGAACUCUGGGAAGGCUGACAGGCUGCAUGAAGCAGAUAGCUCAGUCUUAAUAUAGGGUAGUGAUGAUCAACUUAGCAGUAUCUGCCCAAAUGAAUUUGGCACAUCACUUUGUGGCAGGACUGCAAGAUGUUUUAGGUAGAGCCAUUUGUCAGAGCUUGGUGGCACUGUUGGUGUGUUCCCUCUGUACUGGUCCCUUUUCUACUUAUGAUACAGUACAAAACUCUGAGCUAGUAGGUGCCAGCAACCUCAUUAAAAUAUUGGGUAUUACUAGUGCUAGUACAUCAUCCACUUCUGUUGGGAAUUAAUCUGUGAGAGAUGAAGUAGUAGCUAAGAGUAUUUUAUGCCAAACUGAGUUCAACUCUUUGAGUGUACUCUGAAGCAAGGAAAAUGCAUAAGUAGCCCUAAACUGAACAUAAAAAGUAAAGCAACCACAAGAUUUGCCAGUUCCUGAGAGCCUGGAGAAGUACCAUAUCAACCCAAGCAUCAACGAGGAUGUCAUGUUUUGGCCAAAACUAUGAUGCGGGACCAUAACAAUAAAAAGCCACAUGAUCUGGAAGACUUAAAAUCCAUCAUCUCCAAGAACUGCACCGGAUUGUCUGCACCUUGUAGUUCAUUCCAUGGAAUUGAAAGCUCAACAGUGAGGAAGAGAAGACACUGGAGGAAGAAGCAGAGAGUGCAUUGUGUUCAACAGAUGCACAGCUUUCCUAGCAGAAGGAAGAGAAGGAGCCCAGUGGCAAACAGGCAACCUCCUAGGACUUGCAACUACUCCCCAACAGCUGCAAGCCUGUUACAGACUCUACAGGAGACAAAAAUUCAGGGUACUGAUGUUCAGCAGAUGAAAAACUGAAACAAACACCUCUCGGGGGACUUAAUUUCUUUUACGUGCCAUAUGUAUGGGAGUAAAGAAGAUGGCAUGACUGCCUGCUGUGGACUGUGAAGCCCAGGAGAUGGAAUAGGAAAGAAAAAUCCCAGUGGAGCAAGAAGUACAGAGAGUCAGAAGGAGGAAAACAAGUGAUGGUAGAAACACAGUGACCACAAUGAAUCACCACGUUUCUAACUGUGAUUGAAACUAUUUGCAGUUUGUAUGCACAGCUACUCACAAACAGCAGCCUCUACUUCCUUAAAAUAUCAAAACAGACCGUUUCACCCAACUAACUACAUUGCUUCAGCACCAGUUACCCACUACUGCUCCCUCUUAGAGGCUAACCCAUUCCUCUGUGGGAGUGACUGGCUGAGCCAAACCGCCCGAACUCACAGUUUGAAGUGUUGAGUCCCUAAGUGGACUGGGCUGGCUGCACCACAUUCUAACCUGCAACAGCCUUACCAGUAGUUCCUAUAAUUCUGUGCAGGUAGCAGUAAGAACCGAGAAACUAAUUGACUUGACCAAAAAGAACUGAAAUGAUAUUCACUUCCCACUUAAAGUGCUGCUGCAAACUUUGGUCAGUACAUUAUUCCUGCCUUUACUGUUUCAGUUGUUAUCUAGAAAUAGAAGAUAGUAUGCUGCCUUCCUUCCCUUGUGCUAUUUUAGGAGCAGCUACUGCCAGCAGUUUAGUUUCCUUGUGGGAAGGAAUGUAAAGCAUCUAUUUAUUUCAGAGAUUGGCUUUUGAGUGGGAAUAUUGGGCUAUAAGAGAAACGAUUCAGGGUGAUAAGGCUGUGUGUGCAUAUUUUUGGCAUCUUAAUAAAUUACCAACUUGAGAAAGAGAGAAUGGAGCUUUCAUGUAUAGAACAUCAUGUUCCACAAUGCAUUUCAUAGGUGUUGUUCCUCCAUACUAAAUGAGGCCUUUUAGCUUUUGUGCCUUGUGUUUCUUUGGCAAGAAAACAGCAUUGUUCAGUGCUUCACUAAUUUACUGAGAAAAGGUGUACUGCAAAAGUAUAUCUCCUUUUGCUUGUUAAUAUUAAUUUCCACAGCUCUCUGAGGUUCUAAAAAUGGCAAGAAGUUACUUCAGGAAACAUCUUUUUUGUUUAAGUAGACACCCUUGACUGGUGCCUACUGCAUCUCACCAAAAUUCUGUGAUGGAUCAUUUGGCAUCACCAGAAGAAAAAAAGGUGGGAACUUUAGUAACAAGGCAAACACAGCAAACUGGCUGUCCAAUAAGUGUAAGUGACCCUGUUGUUUUGUUCCGAUAUACUACUGAUGUGCUAACAGACAUCGGCUCCUCACGCACAGAUUGCACAGGUGUAAACUUUAUCAGUUGUUAGUAAUGUUUUUGAACCUGCAUGCAUGGUCACUUAAUAUACAUGAAAGAUCUUUCCAUGAGGAGGUAUCAUAGUGGAGAUUAUGCUAAAAUGAGUUAUUUUUUCCAGUCAGUCUUGUUCUAACAUGGCCACUGUACUGCUUUGUACUAAACUUUUUGUUCAGGAAAAAGAUGAUAGCAUAUGACCACAAAUUGGAAUAUAAUUCAGGCUUAUUUUUGUCUACAAAGAGGUGAUAAAGUGUUAUUUUUUUUUUAAAGUUUCCUGCUUAAGCAUCUUCAGGUAGCUGUUGCUAAAGCAAUGACUUGUUUCCCCAGCUGACCCACACCUUUCUUACAACACAGGGGCAAUUUCUUAUCAGCAAAGUAUUCAAGGACAAAGGAAGAAUGAAGAAAACCUGUGACCACAGCAUUUGUUGAUUUUAGAAUAGUAAUUGCUUUUUAAAACACUAAUUUUGAAAUUUGCAAGAUGUUGGCCUACCAAAGGUAAUCCAGGGACCUUUUGACAUCGUCAGACUAGGAAAAAAUAACUAAUUCAAUUUUGCACCUACAGCUGACCACAGAGGACAACAAUUGCAGUUGUCAGUGCGCACUGAGUUUUUCCUGAGCUGAGUUUCUUAUUCAUUCAUUGCUUUGAGCAAAAGAGAAAUGUGGAGCUCAAGACACACUGAUCAUCUGGCCUUCUGCAUGGGGAACCCAAGCUUCUGCUUCUGCUAUCAGUCAAGCUAAUCAAAGACAUAAAGAAAUCUAUGUAACCUGUGCCAUGUCCAAAUGAAGACUUGCCAUUAACAUUUCUUAUUUUUAGCAAAUUGGUAUUUGGCUACCUUCCCAAAUCACUUAGCCAGUUUGGCCCUGUGAGACAUCAUUCUGAAUAGUGGCAGAGUCAGUUUUUAUUUCUCAAGUGUCAAAAUUCAUUUUUAAAACUGGCACCGAAGUAUGAAUAUGGAAUACAUCUAUAAAAAACCCACUUUAACCCCAAAACAUUCUUGGAUUUUUUUCUUCUUUGAGAAAAGCAAAUAUUGACAUUUGAGGCUCUGUGUCUGGAAAUAAGUGGUAUCGCUUCCUCUGAGGGUUUCUUUUUGUUUUCCUUAUGAUGUAAGUAUAAUAUGCUGGAUUGUAGACAGCCCCAGAAUGACUACAGUGCAGCUAUUUGUUGGAGACUACUGGCAUCAUUAAGAGUGUGUUCACUUGUUUCAAGGAUGUCUGAAGUUUAUGUGGUAAUAAUUGGCUCAUUGCAGAAAUCAGUGUAGAGAAGAGGAGAUCCAGUUAUGUCCACGGUAUUUCUGUGUCAUUUUGUAAGCUUCUGAGUCUUAAGACAAAACUAGGAUAGACAAAAGCAAAAAUUCCUGCUUAAAUGCUGUUGUAUCAGAAGCAAAACCAAUCCAUGGACAUCAAAAUAAAUGAGUUAUUACAAGAGGAAACAGGCAGUUUAUCUUGGAGUUGGACUUCUCUGUGUUUCAGCUGAAAUGAUGCAAGGAAUGGGACGAGCCAUCUGCUUUAGAUUCAUGUAAUAUUCUUCAGCCCUAUUGUCUGUUAAUAGUUUUGUACCAUGCUUCAUAGUAAGUAUGUAAGGUUGCCCAAGGUUAAGUUCUAAUUGCAUCAGCAGUUGCUUUAAUCACAGCUCAGAGACACAUGCCUGUAUAUUUGUCAGUACAUCUCAGCUUUUUGAGUCGUUCUGAGAAUGGAAACAUUCACUGACAUCAGCAGAAGUGAUGGUGUGCUUUCACUGGCAGGUGGAAGAAAAUAGUUAAGUAUUUUAAAACUAUCUUUUAAGCUUAGCUUAGCCACUAUUAUUUUAAAAUCAAAAUCACAAUAAAAUUGAUUUCUUUUGGAUGGGGGAGAGGAGGAGGAAUCUUAAAGCUUACAAAGCCUGGCUCUGAUAUCCUUAGAAAUCCUAAAAAAAUGGUGCUGUGGGCUGUGGUUGUGUAAGUCCUUUGAGAGUGCCCUGCCAAUAAACUACAACCAUGUGGUAAACUGAGUGUUCCUAGAUGGGAGAGUAAUUCAGCCUUUGACCCUGCUAAUUCUGUGAAAUUUAAAGUUUACUUAAACUUAAAAUAAAUAAAUAAACACACUAGUAGCUUUCAGAGCCAAAAAA
Long non-coding RNA from Gallus gallus (chicken), 4545 nucleotides. RefSeq lists it as uncharacterized. The record is from RefSeq and is a predicted model, not a curated record. Lineage: Eukaryota; Metazoa; Chordata; Aves; Galliformes; Phasianidae. The transcript has 2 exons.